This is a long non-coding RNA of Uloborus diversus, 352 nucleotides long. RefSeq lists it as uncharacterized. The transcript is spliced from 3 exons. NCBI's taxonomy places the organism in Eukaryota, Metazoa, Arthropoda, Arachnida, Araneae, Uloboridae. The record is from RefSeq and is a predicted model, not a curated record.
CAUAAACUUGCCCCUAACGGAAAUUAACCAGCUCCCACUAACUGACACCUACCUACAAAAUGAUGAAAAAUUUUCAGAAACAGUUUCCUACUUGGCAACUAUAGGAGGGUUAGGUGCAAAGCAAGUAAUGCAUCGCUUGCUAUCCUCUGUCCUCCACCAAGAUCUUGCUGUGAUGCUGAAUUGGAAAGGCAGAGGCGAAAAGCAUGCAUUUCAUCAAUACCGAAGAAUAAUUUUAUGUAUUUUCCGUGCAGCACAAGCCAAUGCUCAAGAUUAUACAUUGAACAACGCAGAAGUGUUUAUUAAGAGUUGGCUGAGGUUUGCCCCUGACCGGAAUGGGACACGCAAAAAAAAU